This 71-nucleotide transfer RNA is filed under the name Ictidomys tridecemlineatus (thirteen-lined ground squirrel). Its description in RNAcentral is "Spermophilus tridecemlineatus (thirteen-lined ground squirrel) tRNA". It matches the Rfam family "tRNA". From Rfam's summary of the family: Transfer RNA (tRNA) molecules are approximately 80 nucleotides in length. Their secondary structure includes four short double-helical elements and three loops (D, anti-codon, and T loops). Lineage: Eukaryota; Metazoa; Chordata; Mammalia; Rodentia; Sciuridae. The record is from Rfam by way of RNAcentral.
UGGGUUGUGGCUCAGUGGUAGAGGACUUGCCUCGCAUGUGUGAGGCUCUGGGUUCGAUCUCAGUACCCCAU